UGACACCAAGUUUUCUCUCUCUAGUCAGCACACAGAAGUUACUUUGGCUGCCUUUGCAGGAGAAGAGAGCAAUCUCUUGCCAUGCAGGGAGGGAGGACGUGGUGUACUUCUAGCAUCAAGUUACAUGUGGUCAAGUCAGGGGAUGCCAUACCUGCUCCCAGCCUGAAUCCUGCAAUGUGUCAGGAGGAGCAGUGCAUUCAUAACGCAGCAACAAAGACUGGAGCACUGCUGAGACAGGUAGCAGAGCUCCUUCAUUAGUGGUCACUGUUAACCCCAUCCAGUCAGUGCUGAGCAAAACGAGGACUCUGCAAACUGCAGGUAAUAUUUCCUGCUGGCUCAGCUAUAGUCAUUUAUGCAGCUUUUAGGGCGGUUUGGUGUUUUUUUUCUUUCUUUUUCUGUUCCUUGCUUUUGGUGAGAUGCUAAUAAUCCGUGCAAACUCCCCCAUACACAACCAAUCUCCAUCAGAUGAUGAGACAAAAGGCUGAGAUAAGCCCCACUUCUAGCUAUACACUGUUAAAACGGGAAAAGAAAUCUGUUCAGAGAUUUUGCAAUGCAUAUGC
Molecule: long non-coding RNA, 560 nt
Filed under: Gallus gallus (chicken)
Lineage: Eukaryota; Metazoa; Chordata; Aves; Galliformes; Phasianidae
Description: lncRNA (ENSGALG00010029078.1)
Source: RNAcentral